UUCAAUCUCAUAAUACAAGUCUUACUUACAUUAGGUUUUCUAAUAACUUAAGUUAUUCAACUUCCAUUAGGAAUCCUAUUAAGCACCAACUCUUGGAGUCCUUGCACCCACAUAAACACACACCAAAGUGCACCCAAGGGACAUCCCAUAUAAGAUCAAAAAGUCCUCUAAUCAUGGGACACGCCCAACUUGAUCAAAUCAAGGUGGC
RNAcentral lists this long non-coding RNA (208 nucleotides) under Elaeis guineensis (African oil palm). RNAcentral's name for it is "long non-coding RNA (EGUI_LNC079176)". Lineage: Eukaryota; Viridiplantae; Streptophyta; Magnoliopsida; Arecales; Arecaceae. The record is from RNAcentral.